CUAAAUUCGUGUUUGUUUUCUUGAAGGUUUUUGCCAACAAAGACAAACAGGGAGAUGAAGAUGAAACACAGAGACAUAAAAGAGUCGCUUAGGGAAAUGAUAAAGAGAAGAGAGAAGGCAAUUAAAGCAGGGGAAGAGAGCAAUGAGGACUUGUUGGACAUACUUGUGGAAUCCAAUAUCAGAGAAAUGGAAGCAAAGAAUAUGGGGAUGAGCAUUGAGGAUGUGAUUGAGGAAUGCAAGCUGUUUUACUUUGCUGGCCAAGAGACCACUUCGGUCUUACUGGUGUGGACUAUGGUUUUAUUAGCAAGGUAUCCCGAUUGGCAAAGUAAAGCAAGAGAGGAGGUUUUGCAUGUUUUGGGUGACAGUAAACCUGAUGCUGAUGGCCUUAAUCGUCUCAAAGUUGUAAGUCCCUAGCAUGUCUUUUGAAGGUCCGAUCAAUGAGGUCGACAACUCAAAAACUUGGUUUUUUUUGUUUCGCUAAUUCUACAGGUAACAAUGAUAUUGUACGAGGUUCUAAGGUUGUACCCACCAGUGGUUGAGCUAGGACGUUCCGUUCCAAAAGAAAUAAAACUGGGGAAUUUGUUGUUACCAGCAGGAGCAGAAGUUUCGGUUCCGAUCCUGCAGAUCCACCAUGACAAAGAUCUUUGGGGUGACGACGCACGGGAAUUUAAGCCAGAGCGGUUGGCGGAAGGGGUUUCCAAAGCAACAAAGAGUCAAGUCACGUUUCUGCCAUUCGGAUGGGGUCCUAGGAUCUGUAUUGGCCAAAAUUUUGCCAUGAUGGAAGCCAAAAUGGCGAUGGCUAUGAUUCUCCAACGCUUCUGGUUCGAGCUUUCCCCUUCCUAUGCUCACUCUCCUUACAGCAGGGCAACUCUUCGUCCACAGCAUGGUGCACAGAUAGUUUUACAUAAACUUGGCUCUAAUUGAAUUGUUAUGUAAACAGAUCUUUUUGAAAAUAUAGCGUUUUAGUGUAUCGUCAAAGUCCGGUGUCUGUAAUGGUACAAUUCCGAUGCAUGAAUAGUAAAUUUUAAGAUGUUUGGUUAAGUCCGAAAUAAUAUGCAGAAAUUGAGUGUCUUGAAUGGAUGUAGUAUUUAAUGGUGGACAUAGUUGAGGGAUUAAUGUGGUAAUUAUCGAACAAAUAAUUGCAUAUGGUACAAAGACUUAUAUGGAAAUUAGAGCGGGGGGAGUAGAAAAUGACUACUUUGCUUUGGGCAUCAAUUUAGAAAGAUUUAAAGUACAAAUGUAUUAUUAGUUUAAAGGAUUUGUUUUAAAGAAGGAAUGACAAUUAAACCUCAUGGUUGAUUUGUGGAAGGGAACCGAUGAUGGGAUGAUUAUUCUUAGUGGUAAAAAAAAAACUAUUAAGGAGGUUAUUAUACUUGUUAUCAAUUUCUCAAAAUUUGAAUGGGUUUAAGUCAGAUUAUAUCGAGCUUGUUAGAUGAGUUCACGGACCAAGCUUGCAUGAUAAUGGCUGCUUACAGAAAUGUAUCUAUAGUUUUCUACAAAGUCAUAUGUGAAAUUAUGCAUUGGUACCGCAUAAACAUGUUUUAUGUCUAGAAUAUUAUACGUGUCUAUGUGCAUGGAAUCUACCUAGUAUAUCAUAUCAAUGAACAGUAUCAAUGGUGGACCUCAAAAGUAUUUUUGGGGGAUCAGAAUUAAACUGUAUGUUUUUAUGAAAGUAAAAAUUUAAUUUCACUAUUUUAUAGUCAAUUUCUUUUUAAUUUUUGAAGGAUUAAAUCAAAUUUUUAUAAAUUUUUAGGAGGUUGAAGUACAAUUUUAUCAUUACUAAUUUAAAAUUUUAUAAAUUAUAAAAAAUAUAAAUAAAAAAUUUUAUAUUUUAGGAUAGCCAAGGCUCCUGCCAACUCUAACUCACUGAAUAGUAUAAAUAAAUAAAUACCAUCAUCUAAAAUAUGGGUAAGUGUCCAAAAUAUGAUUUUGGUGAAAAUAUGUAGGGUUGGUCUCAUGGAAGUGUAAAGACAAGAACCCCGCUAAUGUAUGGGAUGUGUAAAGUUGAAUCUAGGGAGCAAAUAGGAGUGAAUCAUUUUGGUAACAUUUGGACAAGAAACAUAAUGAACAAAAUGAAAGGAGAGGAAGCUAGUAAAAGAUUUUUUUGGGUCAUAUAAUUUGUUUGGCAUAUAUUUUUAUAAUUUUUAAAUAUCAUUUUGGAGUUGAAUUAUAACUUUUUUUUAUAUAUUAUCUUAAAAUUUUAUAAAAUUUAAGGAGUUAAAACGUAAUUAUUCCAUGGGUCAGAGCUGCCCUCGCUUUGCAUUUCUUUGAGAUUCAGCCUUAUCUCAAUUGAGGGUUGAGUAGAAAGAUUUGGUGGAGCAAGCAAAGCUAUCAAUCAAGGUUGGAGAAAGCUUAGGAGGUCACAAUGCAUAAUUAUUUAAAUGUAAUUCUAAUAUUUAAAUAAAAUUUAUUAAUAUAAUAUCAGCAAGUGUUAAAUAUAAUGAUCAGAUACCAUUAUAUUUUUAGAAAGAGAAAAUAUGUUUAAACCUUAAAAACGGCGUUACUAAAAAUAAUAAUCACAAAUCUUGAAAUAUAAAAAAUAAAUUUUUUAAUAUAAUUAAAAUUUAAUUUGAAAGCCGAGCUGGAUAAAAUUCUAAUUUUAGAUAAUGGUACCAACAACAAAUCAAUAUUUAAAUUAAAAUUAAUCUAAAUUUAAUAUAAUCAAAUUGGACUCUAAUAUUAAAUUUAAUAUAAUCAAGGUUCAUGAACUUUAUACCCUAUGCUUUACGUAAUUGAAAAAAAAAUCAUUGGACAUAAAAGUCUACGAAAAGUUUCACUAUAUUAAUAAAUAAAUAAAUAAAAAAUAUUGCUACAAGAUUACAACACAAAGUUACAAUAAGAGCUUAUAACUUAACAAAGGCUAUCAAUAAAUAAUCUCAAACAAACUAAAGAGAAAUAUUGAGAGUCCCACCAAAUAGUGAUUGCCUUUAAAAGUUAAAAACUCGAAGUUAUAGUAUCUCAAAUGAAAUUAAACCAUGAACAUUAAAUUUUUCGAGUCUACUAGCUACUGUAAAAAAUUGAGCUCCAACGGACAACAAAUGAACCUUUGAUCGAAGAAAAUACGAAAAUUAGUCUCGGUAAAUCAAGCUGCCAAACUUACUUUUUAUCUUAUCUUUAAUUUGUAAUAAAAUUCAAAAUUAAGGUUUUGUUUGUUUCACUUAGAACAACUUUCAAAAAAUUAAUUUUGGAAAAUGGAUUGAUUUUUCGAAAUAGAUGAUAUUUUAUUGUGUAAAAAUUUUAUUUGUUGUUUGAUGAACUUUUUUUUAAAUCAUUUUUUUAGAAUUAUUUUUAGUGAAACAAAUAUAUCAUAAAUAUAUUUGUUACAAAAUAUUAUAUUAGUAUUUUCUUUUGACAAUUAAAGUUUAUUUUAUGAUAAGACAAUAUUUUAUAAUAAUUAAUAUCAUAUAUACUUAAUAAUAAAUCAUGUCUAAUUAAAAUUUAAGUUAAAUUAAAUAUAUUAAUAAAGCUACAUAUAAUCAUAUUUUAUAUAAUUAAAAUAUUAAUAUAAAUAUUUUUCAAUAAGAUAUUAAAGAAUAUUUAAAAUUUAAAUUUAUUAUUACUAAAAUUAAUUAUUAAAAUAAAAAUGUAAUAUUAAAUAAUUUAUCUAAUGAUAAGUUAUAUUAAUAAUUUAUUAUAUCAUUAAAUAAAAAUAAUUAAAUAUGUAUGUUUAAUAAUAUUAUGUUAUAAUAUUCAUUAUUAAUAUCUUAAUAUUCUUAAACAGCCGUGUCUCAAAGAUGGUUGUGAUGGUGAUGUGAUGAUGCAGCCCCCCUUCUUACAAUUACAAUAAUUUUUAGUGCAAUAAUUAAAGUUGCUGAGUGGUAAAGUAAACUUCUUUUGACUGAGAUGCAUGUAAUAUAUGGAUGUUGAGGUUUUAGACUGCGCCAUCUUUAAAGGGGUUAAAUUAUAUAUUUAUAUAAUAUGAUUAUUGUUUAUGAAUAUAAUAUUAUAGAUAAGUUUUUAUACAUAUUAAUAUGUAUUUUAUUUUAAUGUUAAUAUGUAGUUUUUUAGAUGUGGAUUCACCUAUAUAAUGAUAUGAACUCAUUAUGCAGUCUCAUGAAAUAUGCAAACACAUAUAGUGUAAAUAUAAAGUAUGAACCACCAAAAGUACAGAUCAACACCUAAUUGAAUAAUUGGAUAACAGAUAGGUAAUAAUAAAUAUCAUUCACUAUCCCCUCUUGUUUUAAUUUAUUUUAUUUCCAGUGAGUUAUUUUUUUUAUGAUAAAUUUGCAACAAAUGUUUUUAUCAUUAUUUUGUUGGUAAAUGAUAAUAAGAUUAAAUUUACUUUCGUAAGCUCCUUCAAUUCUUUGGAGUUAGUGGUUUUUUAUUCUGAUCUUUUUUUCUUAUUAAAUUUUUUAUAAUAAAUGUGUUUAUAGAUGAGGUUAGAUUAUAAUUGAAUUAUUUUAUAGCAUUAACAUAAUUUAGAUGGAUUAAAAUUUAUUCUACUAAAAAUAUAAAUUUAAAAUUUUACUUCAAUUUAUCUUAAUUUAUAAAUGAUGAAUUUAAAUUUACUUUUUCCCCAUUAUAUUCAAUUUUCCACAUAAUAUUUGGCCUAGAACAAAAACUAGAACAAUAAAACAAAUAUAAACUAUGCUACAAAGAGUAUACAGCUACAGAAAGCUGAAAUGUUUUCCAAAAAUUAUAUUGUUAACUUUUAAAAAAAAUAUUUUAGCUAUUUAUCAUCAUGAAGAAAAAAGAUACAGUCAUGCACCUGGCCUCAUGCUUCAACACCUCAACCUAGAUUCUCAUCACCUGUAUUUAUCAUCGAUUCAGAUCUUUAUUUUUACUAUAUUCUAGAUCUCCCUAUAAAUAUAUCUUCAAACUUCCUUUGGUUAAGUUCAUUCAUAGAUGGGUGAGUAAACUUGAGCUUCAGCUUUCCACAAACACCUUAAUUUGAAGACACUGUUCUCUCAUGCUAAAAACCACAUGGACGUUUACCAUGUAAUUAGAGAGUUGGUUUCAUUGCUUGUUGUUGGGUUAUUAAUGAUAUGGGGAUGGAGAGCUUUAAACUGGGUAUGGCUGGCUCCAAAGAGGCUCGAAAGGUGCUUGAGACAACAGGGUUUAGCAGGGAAUUCUUACAGGUUCCUUUCUGGUGACAUAAAAGAGCUCUUCACUAUGAGCAGACAAACAAGAGCCAAACCUAUGCCUCUUAGUGAUGAUAUUGGGCCUUAUGUUGUUCCUUUUCAACAUCAAACUGUCAACCAGUAUGGUAUGUUUUUUUGUUUAAUCUGCAAUUUAUGAUAAUUCUUUUUUAUUUAUGUAUGGAAUUUAUUGGGAGGAAAUGCAGGAAAGAAUUCAUUUACGUGGUUUGGUCCAAGACCAAGGGUGAACAUUACGGACCCUGAAAAAAUAAAAGAAAUACUUAACAAAUUUAAUGACUUCCAGAAGGUACGUACCAAUCCACUUGUUCAUUUGCUUGUAAGCGGCCUUGUUAACCUCGAAGGAGACCGAUGGAGCAAGCAUAGAAAAAUCAUAAACCCUGCAUUUCAUCAAGAUAAGUUGAAGGUAUAGAAUAGUGAUGGGUACUCAGACUUUAAAGAAAACAUCAUACUUAAACCUAUGCUUUUCUGACUUAGAAAAUAAUUGGAUGCAGAAUAUGUUGCCAGCAUUUUAUCAAAGUUGUAGUGACAUGUCAAGCAAAUGGGAGAAGAUGGUGUGUACAGAAGGAUACUGUGAGUUAGAUGUGUGGCCUUAUCUCGUAGAUUUGACAAGAGAUGUGAUUUCCCGAUCUGCUUUUGGAAGCAGCUUCGAAGAAGGCAAACGAAUUUUCCAAUUACCAGAGGACCAACUCGUUCUCACAAUCAAAUUAAUACAAACUGUUUACAUUCCAGGAUGGAGGUAACCCUCAACUUAAUUUACUUGAAAAAGGUUGCAAAUGUUGGAAUUCGCUAAAAGCGUGUUUGUUUUCUUGAAGGUUUUUGCCAACAAAGACAAACGGGGAGAUGAAGAUGAAAUACAAAGACAUAAAAGAGUCGCUUAGGGAAAUGAUAAAGAGAAGAGAGAAGGCAAUUAAAGCAAGGGAAGAGAGCAAUGAGGACUUGUUGGACAUACUUGUGGAAUCCAAUAUCAGAGAAAUGGAAGCAAAGAAUAUGGGGAUGAGCAUUGAGGAUGUGAUUGAGGAAUGCAAGCUGUUUUACUUUGCUGGCCAAGGGACCACUUCGGUCUUGCUGGUGUGGACUAUGGUUUUAUUAGCAAGGCAUCCCGAUUGGCAAAGUAAAGCAAGAGACGAGGUUUUGCAUGUUUUGGGUGACAGUAAACCUGAUGCUGAUGGCCUUAAUCGUCUCAAAGUUGUAAGUCCCUAGCAUGUCUUUUGAAGGUCCGAUCAAUGAGGUCGACAACUCAAAAACUUGGUUUCUUUGUUUCGCUAAUUCUACAGGUAACAAUGAUAUUGUACGAGGUUCUAAGGUUGUACCCACCAGUGGUUGAGCUAGGACGUUCCGUUCCAAAAGAAAUAAAACUGGGAAAUUUGUUGUUACCAGCAGGAACAGACGUUUUGGUUCCAAUCCUGCAGAUCCACCAUGACAAAGAUCUUUGGGGCGACGACGCACGGGAAUUUAAGCCAGAGCGGUUCACGGAAGGAGUUUCCAAAGCAACAAAGAGUCAAGUCACGUUUCUGCCAUUCGGAUGGGGUCCUAGGAUCUGCAUUGGCCAAAACUUUGCCAUGAUGGAAGCCAAAAUGGCGAUGGCUAUGAUUCUCCAACGCUUCUGGUUCGAGCUUUCCCCUUCCUAUGCUCACUCUCCUUACAGCAUGGCAACUCUUCGUCCACAGCAUGGUGCACAGAUAAUUUUACAUAAACUUGGCUCUAAUUGAAUUGUUAUGUAAAUAAAUCUUUGUGAAAAUAUAUAGCUUGUUAGUGUAUCGUCAAAGUCCGGUGUCUGUAAUGGUACAAUUCCGAUGCAUGAAUAGUAAAUUUUGAGAUGUUUAGUGAAGUCCGAAAUAAUAUGCAGAAAUUGAGUGUCUUGAAUGGAUGUAGUAUUUAAUGGUGGACAUAGCUGGGGGACUAAUGUGGUAAUUAUCGAACAAAUAAUUGCAUAUGGUACAAAGACUUGUAUGGAAAUUAGAGCAGGGGGAGUAGAAAAUGACUACUUUGCUUUGGGCAUCAAUUUAGAAAGAUUUAAAGUACAAAUGUAUUAUUAGUUUAAGGGAUUUGUUUUAAAGAAGGAAUGACAAUUAAACCUUAUGAUUGAUUUGUGGAAAGGAAUCGAUGAUGGGAUGAUUACUUUUAGUGGUAAAAAAAACUAUUAAGGAGGUUAUUAUAUUUGUUAUCACCGGCCCAAAAUUUAAAUGUAGUCACGUCAAAUUAUAUCGAGCUCGCAAUAUGAGUUCACGGACCAAGUUUGCAUGAUAAUAGGUGUUCACAUAAAGGUAUUUAUAGUUUACUGCAAAGUCACAUGUGAGAUCGUGCAUUGGAACCGAAUAGACAUGUUUUAUGUUUAGAAUAUGAUACGUGUCUAUGUGCAUAGAAUCUACCUAGUAUAUCAUAUCAAUGAAUAGUAUCAAUUGCGGAGCCAAAAUUUUUUUGAGGGGUAAGAAUUAAAUUGUAUAUUUUUACUAAAAUAAAAAUUCAAUUUUACUAUUUUAAUAGUUUAUUUCUUUUUAAUUUUUAAAUGAUUAAAUCAAAUUUUUAUAAAUUUUUAGAGAUCAAAAUAUAAUUUUAUCAUUACUAAUUUAAAAUUUUAUAAAUUAUAAAGUAUUUAAAUAAAAAAAUUUCCUAUUUUAGGGUGACCAAGGUCCUGCCAACUUCCUACUCGAUCACUGAACAGUAUAAAUAAAUACCAUCAUCUAAAAUACUCAAGAAAAACACUCAAGGAUAAAUAGAGAGAUGUUGGGUAAGUGUCCAAAAUAUGAUUUAAGUGAAGAUACGUGUGGUAGGUGUCAUGGAAAUGUAAAGACAAGAAUCCCACUAAUGUAUGGGAUGUGUACACUUGAAUGUAGGGAGCAAAGAGGAGCGAAUCAUUGUGGUAACAUUUGGACAAGAAAUAAUGAACAAAAUGAAAGGAGAGGAAGCUAGUAAAAGAUUUUUUUGGGUCAUAUAAUUUGUUUGGUAUAUAUUUUUUUAAUUUUUAAAUAUCAUUUUGGAGUUGAAUUAUAGUUUCUUUUUAUGUUUUAAAACAUAAUUAUUUUAUUUUUAGAGUGUCAAAGUAGAGGUGAGCAUGGAUCAGACUACUCGGCUCGGCCGGAAGAUCUGUCUGAAAUGUGAGAGGUUUGAGCAAAAAUAUAGGCAAAAAAAAUGGGCUUGGACAAAAAAUAUAAGGCUCGUUUAGAAAAUGGGUCGGGCCUUGAGUAAGACAUUUUUGGCCUCGAGCCUGGCCCGGCUUGAAUUCACUAAAGGACAAAAAAAAUUAAUUUUUUAAAUAUUAUUUUCUUGUUAUUUUCUUCCUAUUUUGCUACCAUUGUACUAUUAUGUUACUACUAUUUUGUUGUUAUUGUUUGGAUAUUGUAUAAACCUUAUUUUAUUGUUAAUUUUGUUAUUAUUUUAAAGACAUUUGUUAAUUUUGUUAUUAUUUUAGAGACAUUUGCUUGUUAAGUUGCAUCUAUCUUAGUGUUAUUUAAGUAUACAUAUUUUUUAAAAUUUAUUUUCAAUUUGUUGGAAAAUAUUUAUUUUAUAUUUUUAGUAUUUUAGAUGUAUUAUAUAUAUUUUAAAAUUAUAUAAAAAUUAAUAUGGACAGGAGGGUCGAGCCCGAGUUUUAGCAUUUUUAUUCGGGUUAGGCUUGGACAAAAUUUUAAGCCCAUUUUUUGGGCCGAGCCUAACAAACAGUCUUGAAUUUUUAGUUGAGCUUGGCCCGGCCCAUGCUCACCUCUAGUUCAAAGCUGCCCUCGCUUUGCAUUUCUUUGAGAUUCAGUUUUAUCUACUGUUGAUUGGCCACUCAAUUGAGGGUUGAAUAGAAAGAUUUGGUGAAGCAAGCUAAGCUAUCAAUCAAGGUUGGAGAAAGCUUAGGAGAUCACAAUGCAUAAUUAUUUAAAUGUAAUUCUAAUAUUUAAAUAAAAUUUAUUAAUUUAGUAUUAACAAGCCUUAAAUGUAAUGAUCAUAUACUAUUACAUUUUCAAGAAGAAAAAAUAUGUUUGAACCUUAAAAACAACAUUAUUAAAAAUAAUAAUCACAAAUCUUAAAAUAUAAAAAAUAUAAUUAAAAAUUAAUUUUAAACUCGAGCUGUAACAGCCCAAAUUUCAGUGGUGUCGGAAUAGUGAUGUGAGAUCACUAAAUACGACAUGUGAGUUUAGAUAUUAGUAAGUAAAAGUUAAGUGUGAUUUUAGAAAUAUUUUUGAAUUAGUGAAAUUGUGAAUUAAAGAAAAUUUCUAGAUAAAAACGAGGUAUCGAGACCUCUAAUUCAUAAACCAAGCCAUAAAUAUUUUUAGAAAUAUUUAUGGAGUGUUACUAAGUUAGUAUUAAAGUUUUGUUAAGAGAUUUUAACAUUUCAGUAAUUAAUUGAAGAAAAAUGACUAAAUUGAAUAAAGUGUAAAACUAUCAAAUAUGAUUAAAUAGCUUAAGAGAUCAUUAAGGAAUGAGUUAAAAGGUAAAUAGACCCAAAUUAGGUGGGUUGGACGGCAUGAGUGUGCAGGAAAUGUAAAAAAAUCAAGUGUGAACAAAGGGCAAAAGUGAAAAUAGGGUAAAAUUUAAUUGUAAAAUAUGAUGUAGUUGGUAAUUUUAGAGAAUUCAUCAUUUUUCUUCAUCUUCAUCAGCUAAAAACACCAUUAGAGAGCUUUUAAGAAGCUGGUUUUAUAUUUUACAGCAUGUAAGUUCAAUUCUUGAUUAUUUAGUUCAAUUCUUGAUUAUUUCUUGUAAUUUUUGUGUUUUUUGAGACUUUUACAAUUGGGUCCUACUAUUUAACUUAUUAGUUUUUGCUUUUAUGAAUGGUUUAGAAAGUUUCCAUAAAUAAGAGCUGAAAUUUUAUGAUGAUUUAUUAUGGAAUUGGGACUGUAAGUUUAUUAUAUGAUGAUUUUAUGAAGAGAUUUUAUAAGAAUUGAUUUUUAGGACCUAAUUGUGAAAGUCGUUGUAAUUAGGGUUUUGUGUUAAAACUUUGAAUUUCAAAGGCUUGGAAGUAGUUAUAAUGUUUAGAUAAAAUGAUAUUUUAGAAUAAUUAGUUCAAUUGAUGAACAAAUUGAGCAAUGACUAAAUUGUAAAAAUUGAAAAGUUUGAGAAAAAAUGUAAUUUCAAAAAUUAAAGGGUAUAAAUUGUGAAGUAGAAUAGAAUUGAAAUAGAUGCUCAUGAGGGAAUGAUUUUAUAAUUACAGAUCAAGAAAACGAAGUGAAUCGUGGAAAGGAGAAAUUGCAAGAAUAUUCCCUGAAAUUUCUACGACUUUUGCAAAUCAGCCCAGUUAAGUUCAUAUGGAAAAAAUUAAUGUUUUGUUAUGAAAAUCUUAUGAUUUGAUAAGGUAUAUUAUUAUAGAUGAAUACUAUCAAAUUGUAAUAAUUAUGAAAUAAUAUUUAAGUAAAAGUACAAAUUAGUUGGAACAAUGGAUUUGAGUGCUUUCGUUCUGUGACCAUGAUGAAUUGAUGGAAAAGGUGUGAUAUGUGCGCCCGUAUAAGACCAUAGCUGGGCUAUGGCAUCGGUGCAAUGUGAUAUGUGCUCCUGUAUAAGACUAUAGUUGGGCUAUGGCAUCGGUGUGAUGUGAUAAUGUGCUUCUGUAAAAGACCAUAUUUGGGAUAUGGCAUCGGUAUGAUAUGUGACCCGUGUAAGACCAUAACUGGGCUAUGGCUUCGGUGUGUGAUAUGUGACUAUGUGCAAGUCUAUGGUUUUACCAUGGCAAUGUGAUAAUGAAGCACUCAAUUCCAUUAUUGUUUCCUAAUUUGACUAUGAAAGUAAAUGAGAAAUAGGCCCAAGAGAUCUAAAAUUGGUGAAUAGUGACAUUGAAAUCAAUCAAAUGAGUUUAUUAAUGAUUUGUGAUUUACAGGAAGGUUUAGUGAAAUUAAAUAUUAUAUGAUUGUGUGCAAUAUUCGGUAAGAUUUAUUUUUCUGUGCUUAUGAGCGUACUAAGCUUCAAUAAGCUUACUUGUGUAUGUUAUUUGUUUUGUAGAUUGACUUAUAUACAUACGGAGGAUUGGAUCUACAUCGAGGAUCACGCUAUCCAGAUUUAUUCUGGUAGAUUUUGUUAAACAACUUUUUGAUUUAUAUGGCAUGUAUAGGGUUGAUUUGAUAAUGUAAUAGUAUGAAUGAUUAAGUAUGUAAAGUAAAUUGAAUGCGAUGGUUGUGUUUGAUAAUGAAAUAUACAUGUUUUGGCUUGAAAUAGUUGAUUUGUUGGACUUUAUUAGUGUAUAAAUGUGAUUUUGUGCAGGAAAAUAUUAAAAGGGUGAGAAAAGAGGCAUUAAAUGACCUAUUUUCGUCCACACGAGUAGGCGCAGGACAUGUGUGACACACAACCUACUAUAUGGGCAUGUGAUAAGAUCGUGUGUCCCUUGCAACUUAAAAAUGAGAAUCAGAAUGUCCAGGUUUAGGCACAUGGCCUAACAUAAGGGCGUGUGGCUUGACCGUGUGACACACCCACGGGCUUUAACAUGGCCGUGUGAUACGGCUGUGUGAAGUCUGCACUUAAAAUGUGAAAUUUAAUUAUCACACGGCCUAGCAACACAGACGUGUGCUCAGGCUGUGUGACUCAAGUUUCUUCUUGAAUGCAAGUCAGAGAGCUCCACGGGCUUGGGACAUAGGCGUGCGUGACCACACAGCCUACCCACACGGGCGUGUCCCUAUCCACACGGGCGUGUGGCCCUGUUUCAUGAUAAUUUUUUUUAAAAUUUUCUAAAAGCUCUGAAAGUUCUUAGUUUGGUCCCGAUCUAUCUCCAACAUAUAUUUUGGGCCUCGUAGGCCCGUAUAAGGGACUUUAAGCAUGUGUUUGAAUAAUAGUUAAUUUGGAAUGAAGUUUUAUGAUCUGGUUUUGGGUGUUUAAUUGUGUUUAAGCCUGGUAAUACCUCGUACCCUGUUCCGGCGUAGAAUACGAGUAAGGGGUGUUACACAAGCUGGAUAAAAUUCUAAUUUUUGAUAAUGAUAGUAAUAACAAAUCAAUAUUUAAAUUAAAAUUAAAAUUAAUUUAGUAUAAUAUAAUUUUUGAGUUUUCGGCAAAGGCACUCAAUGAAUGCUUGGAAAGAAAUAAUGCAACUUAGUGAAAUAAUGCAACUUAGUGAUAGCUUUUGUUGGAGUUAUAUGCUGUUAUUAUAGUUUUAUGUUUUUAUCUUGCAAAAACAACAUAUUGGAGUUUUCGGUGGACUUUUAAGUUUCAUGAUUUUUUCCUAAUACUUUACGUGAAAAAAAUAAUGGUACUUAAAAAUCUAACAAAAGCUUCUCUAUAAUUUUUAUAAAAAAAACAUUGCUACAAUAUUACAACACAAAGUUACAAUAAUAGCUUAUAACUCAACAAAGGCUAUCAAUAAAUAAUCUCAAGCAAGUUAAAGAGAAAUGUUGAGAAUACCACCCAAAUAGUGACCGACUUUAAAAGUUGAAAACCCAAAGCUAUAGUAUCUCAAACGAAAUCAAACCAUAAAUAUUAAAAUUUUUCGAGUCUAUUAGCUACUGUAAAAAAAUUUAGCUCCAACAGACACCAAAUGAGCCUUUGAUUGAAGAAAAUACGAAAACUAGUCUAGGUAAACCAAGCUGCCAAACUUACUUAUCUUAUCUUUAAUCUGCCGUGAAAUUCAAAACUAAGUUUUUGUUUAUUUCACUUAGAACGACUUUCAAAAAAUUAUUUUUGAAAAAUGGAUUGAUUUUUUUGAAAUAGAUGAUAUUUUAUUGUGUUGAAACUUUAUUCGUUGUCUGAAAACUUUUUUUAAAUUAUUUUCUUAGAGUUAUUUUUAGUGAAAUAAACAUAACAUAAAUAUAUUUGUUAUAAAAAAUUAUAUUAGUAUUUUCUUUUGACAAUUAAAAUUUAUUUUAUGAUAAGACAAUAUUUUACAAUAAUUAAUAUCAUAUAUAUACGUAAUAAUAAAUCAUGUUUAAUUAAAAUUUAAUUUAAAUUAAAUAUAUUAAUAAAGCUACAUAUAAUCAUAUUUUAUAUAAUUAAAAUAUUAAUAUAAAUAUUUUUCAAUAAUAUAUUAAAAAUAUUAAAAUUUAAUAUUAUUAUUACUAAAAUUAAUUAUUAAAAUAAAAAAUGUAAUAUUAAAUAAUUUAUUGUAUUAUUAAAUAUAAAUAAUUAAAUAUGUAUUUUAUAAUAUUUUAAUAUUCUUAAACAGCCAUGUUUUAUAGAUGCUGGUGAUCGUGAUGGUGCAGGCCCUUCUUGUUAUAAUUACUAUAAUUUCUAGUGCAAUAAUUGAAGUUGUUGGGUGGUCAAGCAAACCUCUUUUUGACUGAAAUGCAUGUAAUAUACUGGGCGAAUCUAGAGGGGUUCGCGUGGUACCGGUCUCUCUAAAGUUUAAAAUUGUUAUUUAAAUUUUUAAUUUUUUUAAAAAAUUUUAAAUUUAAUAAAAGUAAAAUUAUAUUUUUAGCUCUUAAAAUUAUAAAAAUUAUAUUUAAUCCUUUAAAAGUUAUAAAUAUAUAGACUAAAAAAUUAAAAUUUCAUUCGGCUUAUUAAAAGAUUAUUCUGGCUUUGCUCUUGAUACCGAUGUUGAAUAUUUUAGAGUAUGUUUCUUUAACAUGGUUCAAUUAUAUAUUUAUAUAAUAUAAUUAUUGUUCAUGAAUGUGACAUCGUAACUAAGUUCAUAUGCAUGUCAACAUAUAUAUUAUUUUAGGGUUAAUACGUUUUUUUUAAAUGUGAGUUCACCUAUAUAAUGGUAUGAACCCGUCACGCGGUCUCAUGAAAUAUGCGAAUAUAUGUCGUGCGAACACAAAGUACGAACUACACAGAAUAAGGACUAAGACCCAAUUGGGUAAUCGGAUACGGAUCAGUAAUAAUGAAUUUCAUAACAGCCACCAUCCCCUCAUUUGUUCUAAUUUAUUUUAUUUCCAGUGAGUUAUUGUUUAUGAUAAUUCACAACAAAUGUUUUUGUCAUUAUUUUUUGGUAAAUAAUAAUAAGAUUAAACUCUACUUUCUUAAGCUCCUUCAAUUCUUUGGACGUUGGUGGUUUUUUAUUCUAAUCUUAUUUUCUUAUUAAUUUCUUUUUUAUAAUAAAUGUGUUUAUAGAUUAAAUUGGAUUAUAAUUGAGUCAUUGUAUGGAAUUAACAUAAUUCAUAUCGAUUAAAAUUUAUUCGACUGGAAAUACAAAUUUAAAAUUUUACUUCAAUUUAUCUUAAUUUAUAAAUGAUGAAUUUAAAUUUAUUUUUUUCUCUCAUUAUAUUCAGUUUUCCGGAUAAGAUUUGGCCCAGAACAAAAACUAUAACAAUAAAACAAAUAUAUAUGUUUUCCAAAAAUUAAAUUGUUAACUUUUAAAAAAAUAUUUUUAGCUAUUUCUCAUCAUUGAGAAUAAAAAUAAGGUCACCUCGCCUCAUGCUUCAACAACUCAACCUAGAUUCUCAUCACCUGUAUUUAUCAUCGAUUCAGAUUUUUAUUUUUACUAUAUUCAAGAACUACCUAUAAAUCUAUCUUCAAACUUCCUCUGGUUAAGUUCAUUCAUAGAUAGGUGAGUAAACUUGAGCUUCAGCUUCAACAAACACCAUAGUUUGAAGACACAAUUCUCUCAUACUAAAAAUAUGGAAGUUUACCAUGUAAUUAGAGAUUUGGUCUCAUUGCUUGUUGUUGGGUUAUUAAUGAUAUGGGGAUGGAGAACUUUAAACUGGGUAUGGUUGGCCCCAAAGAGGCUCGAAAGGUGCUUGAGACAACAGGGUUUUGCAGGGAAUACUUACAGGUUCCUUUCCGGUGACAUAAAACAGCUCUCAACUAUGGGCAGACAAACAAAAGCCAAACCUAUGCCUCUUAGUGAUGAUAUUGGGCCUUAUUGUUGGAGUUUCAACACACUUUAACCGGGUAAAGUAAGAAUUUUAAACAGAGCACUAGCAGCAACGUAUUAUACCCGGAUAAAAUAUGAAGGAAAAAUGCUUGGAGUUCAAGCUUUUAGCUACUGUCAAGAAUGAAGAACAGAACUUAGAAGUUUUUAGAAGGCAAAAAAAGAUGGAGCAUAUGGAAGAAAAUCUGAUGAUUUCAUUCAUUGAAACAUUGGCUUAAAGCCAUUACAUAUACCAGUCAUUUGGCUGGUCAAAAGAUUAACAAAUCCUUUACCUAAACACUACCUAACUCCACUAAUUACAUAGGGACUAGGUGAUUUUACUUGCAAACAUAAACAAAGAUGGUGAUCAGCUCUAUCACCAUCAAAUUACAUCAAACAUAAACUAAACUAAGUUCAAAAUGAACUAGAUUACAAAAGCAUAGUUAAACGGUAACAAAAUGUAACUGAGACGGAAAAGAAGUAUCAACCCCUUCAGUUGCAUGUAUUUUACUCGGGUAACUUGUGUGUAUGAAUUCUUGCACAUACUUUACCCGGAUAACAUAAGUGCAUUAAUUUUCACGUGCUUGAAUCUGCAUGGGCUGCAUGGGAACUAACUUCAACACUUAUGUUGCUCCUUUUCUUCAUCAAAUUGUCAACCAGUAUGGUUUGUUUUUUAUUUAUUUAUUUAAUCUUCAAUUUAUGAUAAUUCUUUGUUAUUUAUGUAUGGAAUUUAUUGGGAGGAAAUGCAGGAAAGAAUUCAUUUACGUGGUUUGGUCCAAGACCAAGGGUGAACAUUACUGACCCUGAAAAAAUAAGAGAAAUACUUAAACAAAUUUAAUGACUUCCAGAAGGUACAUACCAAUCCACUGCUUAAUUUGCUUGUAAGCGGCCUUGUUAACCUCGAAGGAGACCGAUGGAGCAAGCGUAGAAAAAUCAUAAACCCUGCAUUUCAUCAAGAUAAGUUGAAGGUAUAGAAUAGUGAUGGGUACUCAAGACUUUACAGAAAACAUCAUACUUAAACCUAUGCUUUUCUGAUUUAGAAAUAAUUGGGUGCAGAAUAUGUUGCCAGCAUUUUAUCAAAGUUGUAGUGACAUGUUAAGCAAAUGGGAGAAGAUGGUGUGUACAGAAGGAUACAGUGAGUUAGAUGUGUGGCCUUAUCUCGUAGAUUUGACAAGGGAUGUGAUUUCCCGAUCUGCUUUUGGAAGCAGCUUCGAAGAAGGCAAGCGAAUUUUCCAAUUACUAGGCGACCAACUCGUUCUCAGAAUCAAAUUAAUACAGAUUGUUUACAUUCCAGGAUGGAGGUAACCCUCAACUUAAUUUACUUGAAAAAGGUUGCAAAUGUUGGAAUUCGCUAAAAUCGUGUUUGUUUUCUUGAAGGUUUUUGCCAACAAAGACAAACAGGUAGAUGAAGAUGAAACAGAGACACAUAAAAGAGUCGCUUAGGGAAAUGAUAAAGAGAAGAGAGAAGGCAAUUAAAGCAAGGGAAGAGAGCAAUGAGGACUUGUUGGACAUACUUGUGGAAUCCAAUAUCAGAGAAAUGGAAGCAAAGAAUAUGGGGAUGAGCAUUGAGGACGUGAUUGAGGAAUGCAAGCUGUUUUACUUUGCUGGCCAAGAGACCACUUCAGUCUUACUGGUGUGGACUAUGGUUUUAUUAGCAAGGUAUGCCGAUUGGCAAAGUAAAGCAAGAGAGGAGGUUUUGCAUGUUUUGGGUGACAGUAAACCUGAUGUUGAUGGCCUUAAUCGUCUCAAAGUUGUAAGUCCCUAGCAUGUCUUUUGAAGGUCCGAUCAAUGAGGUCGACAACUCAAAAACUUGGUUUCUUUUUUCGCUAAUUCUACAGGUAACAAUGAUAUUGUACGAGGUUCUAAGGCUGUACCCAUCAGCGACUGAGCUAGGACGUUCCGUUCCAGAAGAAAUAAAACUGGGAAAUUUGUUGUUGCCAGCAGGAACAGAAGUUUCGGUUCCUAUCCUGCUGAUCCACCAUGACAAAGAUCUUUGGGGCGACGACGCACGGGAAUUUAAGCCAGAGCGGUUCGCGGAAGGGGUUUCCAAAGCAACAAAGAGUCAAGUCACGUUUCUGCCAUUCGGAUGGGGUCCUAGGAUUUGCAUUGGCCAAAAUUUUGCUAUGAUGGAAGCCAAAAUGGCAGUGGCUAUGAUUCUCCAACACUUCUGGUUCGAGCUUUCCCCUUCCUAUGCUCACACUCCUUGCAGCAUGGUAACGCUUCGUCCACAGCAUGGUGCACAGAUAAUUUUACAUAAACUUGGCUGUAAUUGAAUAGUUAUGUAAACAAAUUUUUGUGAAAAUAUAGCGUUUUAGUGUAUCGUCAAAGUCCGGUGUCUGUAAUGGUACAAUUCCGAUGCAUGAAUAGUAAAUUUUGAGAUGUUUGGUGAAGUCCGAAAUAAUAUGCAGAAAUUGAGUGUCUUGAAUGGAUGUAGUAUUUAAUGGUGGACAUAGUUGAGGGACUAAUGUGGUAAUUAUCAAACAAAUAAUUGCAUAUGGUACAAAGACUUGUAUGGAAAUUAGAGCUGGGGGAGUAGAAAAUGACUACUUUGCUUUGGGCAUCAAUUUAGAAAGAUUUAAAGUACAAAUGUAUUAUUAGUUUAAGGGAUUUGUUUUAAAGAAGGAAUGACAAUUAAACCUUAUGGUUGAUUUGUGGGAGGGAACCGAUGAUGGGAUAAUUACUCUUAGUGGUAAAAAAAAAAAACUAUUAAGGAGGAUAUUAUACUUGUUAUCACCGGCCAAAAUUCAAAUGGGUUUGGGUUGAAUUAUAUUGAGCUCGCAAGAUGAGUUCAUGGACCAAGCUUGCAUGAUAAUGGGUGUUCACAGAAAGGUAUCUAUAGUUUCCUGUAAAGUCACAUGUGAGAUCGUAUAUUGGGACCGCAUAAACAUGUUUUAUGUUUAGAAUAUGAUAUGUAUCUAUGUGCAUGGAAUCUACCUAGUAUAUUAUAUCAAUGAAUAGUAUCAAUUGCGGAGCCAAAAUUUUUUUUGAGAGGUCAGAAUUAAAUUGCAUAUUUUUACGAAAAUAAAAAUUCAAUUUCACUAUUUUAAUAGUUUAUUUCUUUUUAAUUUUUAAAUGAUUAAAUUAAAUUUUUAUAAAUUUUUAGGAGGUUGAAGUACAAUUAUAUCAUUACUAAUUUAAAAUUUUAUAAAUUAUAAAGGACUUAAAUGAAAAUUUUCCUAUUUUAAAGUGACUAUAAAUAAAUAAAUACCACCAUCUAAAAGACUUAAGAAAAACACUCAACAAUUGUUGAUAAAUAGAGAGAUGUUGGGUAAAUGUCCAAAAUAUGAUUUAAGUGAAGAUACGUGGGGUAGGCGUCAUGGAAAUGUAAAGACAAGAAUCCCACUAAUGUAUGGGAUGUGUACACUUGAAUGUAGGGAGCAAAGAGGAGCGAAUCAUUGUGGUAACAUUUGGACAAGAAACAUAAUGAACAAAAUGAAAGGAGAGGAAGCUAGUAAAAGAUUUUUUUGGGUCAUAUAAUUUGUUUGGUAUAUAUUUUUUUAAUUUUUAAAUAUCAUUUUAGAGUUGAAUUAUAUUUUCUUUUUAUGUUUUAAAACAUAAUUAUUCUAUUUUUAGAGGGUCAAAGUAGAGGUGAGCAUUGGUCGGGCUAUCCGGCCCGGCCUAAAGAUCUACUAGAAAUGUGAGAGGUUUGAAUAAAAAUAUAGGCCCGAAAAAUGGGUUUGGACAAAAAAUAUAAGGUUCGUUUAGAAAACGGGCCGAGCCUUGAGUAAGGCAUUUUUGACCUCGGGCCUAGCCCUGCCUGAAUUCACUAAAAGACAAAAAAAAUUAAUUUUUUAAUAUUAUUUUCUUGUUAUUUUCUCCCUAUUUUGCUAUCAUUUUACUAUUAUUUUGCUACUAUUUUGUUGUUAUUAUUUGGAUAUUAUAUAAAACUUAUUUUAUUGUUAAUUUUGUUAUUAUUUUAGAGACAUUUACUUGUUAAGUUGCAUCUAUCUUAGUGUUAUUUAAGUAUACAUAUUUUUUAAAAUUUAUUUUCAAUUUGUUGAGAAAUAUUUAUUUUGAUAUUUUGAGUAUUUUGGAUGUAUUAUAUAUAUUUUAAAAUUAUAUAAAAAUUAAUAUGGGCAGGCUGGGUCGAGUCCGAGUUUUAGCAUCUUUAUUUGGGUUGGGUUUGGACAAAAUUUUAAGCCCAUUUUUCAGGCUGAGCCUAACAAAUGAUUCUAAAUUUUUAGUUGAGCUCUCAGCCCGGCCUAUGCUCAUAUCUAGUUCAGAGCUGCCCUCACUUUGUAUUUCUUUGAAAUUCAGUCUUAUCUACUGUUGAUUGCCUACUCAAUUGAGGGUUGAGUAGAAAAAUUUGGCGAAGCAAGCAAAGCUAUCAAUCAAGGUUGGAGAAAGCUUAGGAGGUCACAAUGCAUAAUUAUUUAAAUGUAAUUCUAAUAUUUAAAUCAAAUUUAUUAAUAUAGUAUUAACAAGCCUUAAAUGUAAUGAUCAUAUACUAUUACAUUUUCAGGAAGAGAAAAUAUGUUUAAACUUUAAAAAUAACGUAAUUAAAAAUGAUAAUCAUAAAUCUUAAAACAUAAAAAAUAUAAUUAAAAAUUAAUUUUAAACCCUGGAUAAAAUUCUAGUUUUAGAUAAUGAUACUAAUAACAAAUCAAUAUUUAAAUUAAAAUUAAUAUUAAUUUAAUAUAAUUUUUGAGUCUUCAGCAAAGGCACUCAAUGAAUGCUUGGAAAGAAAUAAUGCAACUUGGUGAUAACUUUGUUGGAGUUAUAUGGUCUUAUUAUAGUUUUAUGUUUUUAUGUUGCAGAAAAAACAUAUUGGAAUUUUUCGUGGACUUUCAAGUUUCAUGAUCUUUUCUUAAUACUUUAUGUGAAAAAAAAUAAUGGGAUUUAAAAAUCUAUCAAAAAGCUUCUGUUGUAGGCCAAUUUUGGCUCAAAUACAACCCAAUUAUUCAAACCCCUUAAAACCCAAUACAAAAUAGCCCAACUACUAACCCUAGCCCAGACCAAUAAUAAAAAAUAGCAAAGAAAAAAAGAACCCUGGCCACCCCGUGAUGUUUGCCACCCCACGCCUCUGCAGCACCAUUCCCAGGCAUCACACACUCUCACCAACUCCUCCAUACCCUGCAAAAUGAGACAAACACCAAGACAGAAGCUGACAACACAAGAGCAGUAGCAAGAGGCUUAAAAUAUCGUUUUGAAAUGGCUAUAAGAGGGAGAUCCGAUUGUAAAAAUUGGGGGGGAUUCAAUAUGCAAAAAUUGUAUCACGAAUUUUGGCAAAUCAAAAGCAAAAAAAAAGCACAUAAAAAAGGUUGAAUUUUAUUUCCUUUUUUUGUUUCUUUAUUUUUUAUUUUCCUUUUUUUCUUCAAAAAAUCAGUUUUAAAACAAAAAAAAUAAAAAAAAGAAGAAAGGGGAUUUACCUGAACUUCGGAGCCGCGACAUCGGAGCCCUACUCCGUCGUUGAAAUCGGCUCUCAAAAAGGAAAAUGGGGGUCUCUCCCUUCAGAUUUUCGGGCUAAGAAAAUAGGGCCUUCAGGCGCCCCCAAAAUCGGGGUCAAAAGCCCCCAUUCAAGCAACCCCGACCACCACUUACGGUGGCUCCAUGGCGGCGGCAAUGAUGGGUAUAAACCCUAGCAAAAGGGGAAAUGAGGGAGAGAGAGCCAAGAAACUCUCUGUUUUUUUUGCUUUUCAAAAUGGGGGCUGGAAACACAAAAUAAAAAAAAGGGUUUUAAGUUAUUUGAAAAAAAAGGGCUGCACUUUAACUCGUUUAACAGGCCUAAUAUGUGCCUUUUAAUUGAAAGUGAGGGAAUUAUACAUUAGGUCCUUCUCAUUUGCGCAAACAUUCAAUCAUGCCACAUUUAUUUCACUUCCUUUUUAAUUUGGCUUUAAAACUUACGCAUAUUAGCAAUUCGGUCCCAUUUCUUUUUAUUUUAUUAUUUUCACCCCGAAUUUCUGUCUAGAGUUCAAAUUAGCCCCUUUUCGUCCUUUUCUUUUCUUUUAUAUUUUAUUUUAUUAUUUGAUAUUAUGGUAUUAUAAUUGUAUUUUAUUUUCUUGCAUAUUAUUUGCUAUUAUUAUUAUCACCUUCAUUCCAUUAUUAUUAUUGCUAUUGCUAAGUUUUUUGUUGUUUAUAUUUUUAUUUAUAUUAUUAGUAUAUUGUUAUUCCUUAGUUUAUUAUUAUUAUAUCAUUUUUUAUGUAUUUAUCUACAUUAUUAUUAUUAUUAUUAUUUUUGAACACAUCAUGCAUUUUAAAUUAUUACCAAUUUUAAAUAUUUUAUAUAUAUCAUUAUGUAGUAUUUAUUUUUAGAUUCUUAUACGUAUCUUGGUAUUUUAGAUUAUUACAUGUAUACCUAUAUAUAUAUAUCUUUUAUUUUAAACAUUUUUCUAUGCAUUAUCUUACAUCAAAUUUCUUUUUUUUCACGUUAUUCUUUCUAAAUAUUUUAUAUGUCAUUUGAACUAAAUUCUAUUUUUAAAAUUUUUAUAUAUUACUUAGUUACAUUAUUUUAUAUGAAAAUUAUUUUGAACUCUUUUAUUAUUUAUUGUAAACCUUUAUUAUUGUUAAUUUUAAGACUAUAUAGGUAUUUAUUAAAAAAAAUUCAUAAAUAUUAUUUUGGAUUUAUAUAUAUUUUUAUUUUUGAACAAUAUUUAUUUUAAAAUUUUCUUUUACACAUUUUAAGCUCUUUGGUAAAUUAUUUUAAAGUGUUCUUGUUAUUUUUUUUUGUAUUAUUCAUCUUAUUUCAUUUAACAUAUUGUUUAUUUGAAGUUUGCUUUAUAUAGGUUACUUUAUUUUAUGCCCAAAAUAUUAUAUAUAUUAAUUAUUAUAAAUUGUUUUAUAUUCUUUACUUUAAAUUGCCUUUUCAUUUUAAAAUUGUUUUAUGUAUUAUUUAUUUAAAACUGUCUUAUUAUUUUGAAUUGUUUUAUGCCCCAUUUUUUAGAGCUCAAUUUAUUUAUUUUUAUUUAUCACCCAUUAUACGUUAUUUCCUUAUACUAUUACAUAUUUUAUACUUAUAUAUACAUAUAUAUGUGUAUGCAUCAUUUGAUCUAAAAUUUUUGUAAAUAAAUGUAUCAUCUUUCCUUAAAUCAUUUUAUAUAUUUUAAAUAUCCAUUUUUCACUUUAUUUACUUUUAAAACUUAGUUAUGAUCAUGUUAAAUAGUUUUUAUAUCUUAUUCGUUUUAAUUGGCUUUAUACUAUAUAUUUUUAUAUUAUCACAUAUGUUAUUUCAUUUAUUUGUUUAUUUAUUUUUUUUCUCCUUGAUUACUAAUAUUAACAUUUAAAUAAUGCAUGUUGAGUGAUUAUUGUUAUUGCGUGUACCUUAAUUCAUUCACUUGCGUAUUUAUAUUUGUCGUACAUUUGUGAUGUUAUUCUUGUAUUAUUAUUUCAUGGUCUAUACUCCCUUUCAUUUUGUUUCGUUUAAAUCAUAUCGUGCAUCUACCUCAAAUGUAUUUGUCCAAACAUGGACCGUUUUAAUCCAAACAAAUGAUACACGUCGCUUAAGUAUCACACUUGCUAUGGUUUUUAAAAACAAAAAUUUCAAAAUGAGGCAAUGUUUCGCGUUUUAGAACAUCGAGAAAUUGUGCCCUAACUUAUGGGGUUUCGGUUUUCUCGUUGGUUCUAAAUGUCAAAGUAUCCUUUUGAGUUUUAAAAUACACGAAAUUUUAAUUAAAAUUAAAGAUACACCUAUGCUCGAGAAUUCAUGGUAUGGUGUCCUAACUUACGGGAUGUGAUGCUCCGAUAUCUUGAGAUAAGGAAAUCUUUAAACAAAUUGUUUUGAGCUAAUUCAAAAAUUUUAAAAUUGAUAUUGAUAGAAAAGAUCAUAUUUCAAAUUCAUUCCCGAUUUUUGAUUUUCGACAUUAAGACACUAACUAAUCAAUUCGGUACUAAUUUUUGGGCGUGUCGGGGGCGCUAAUCCUUCCUCGCACAUAACCGACUCCCAAAUUUGUUCUCUUGGAAUUCGUAGACCAAAAUGCCGUUUUACUAAACUAAAAUUGUUAAAACAAAGGUGAUCCGAUCACACCAAAUAAAGAUCGGUGGCGACUUUCGUUUUAAUUUUUGUUUCCAAACAAAGUCGACCCCAUCCUUCAAAAAUCGGUUUCGACAGCUUCACUAUAAUAAUAAUAAUAAUAAUAAAUUGUUACAAUAUUACAACACAAAGUUACAAUAAGAGUUUAUAACUCAACAAAGGCUAUUAAUAAAUAAUCUCACACAAGCUAAAGAAAAAUGUUGAGAAUACCACUCAAAUAGUGACUGACUUUAAAAGUUGAAAACCCGAAGCUAUAGUAUCUCAAACGAAAUCAAACCAUAAACAUUAAAAUUUUUCGAGUCUACCAGCUACUGUAAAAAAUUCAGCUCCAACAGACACCAAAUGAGCCUUUGAUCGAAGAAAAUAUGAAAAUUAGUUUGGGUAUACCAAGCUGCCAAACUUACUUAUCUUAUCUUUAAUUUACAGUGAAAUUCAAAACUAAAGUUUUUGUUUAUUUCACUUAAAAUAACUUUCAAAAAAUUAUUUUUGAAAAAUGGAUUGGUUUUUCGAAAUAGAUGAUAUUUUAUUGUGUUAGAAUAUUAUUCGUUGUUUGAAAACUUUUUUUAAAUCAUUUUCUUAGAGUUAUUUUUAGUGAAACAAACAUAACAUAAAUAUAUUUGUUACAAAAAAUUAUAUUAGUAUUUUCUUUUGACAAUUAAAAUUUAUUUUAUGAUAAGACAAUAUUUUAUAAUAGUUAAUAUCAUAUAUAUAUACACGUAAUAAUAAAUUAUGUUUAAUUAAAAAUUAAUUUAAAUUAAAUAUAUUAAUAAAGCUACAUAUAAUCAUAUUUUAUAUAAUUAAAAUAUUAAUAUAAAUAUUUUUUAAUAAUAUAUUAAAAAUAUUAAAAAUUUAAAAUUAUUAUUACUAAAAUUAAUUAUUAAAAUAAAAAAUGUAAUAUUAAAUAAUUUAUUCAAUGAUAAGUACUUAUAUUAAUAAUUUAUCGUAUUAUUAAAUAUAAAUAAUUAAAUAUGUAUGUUUAAUCAUAUUACGUUAUAAUAUUUUAAUAUUCUUAAAACAGUUUUAAAGAUGCUGGUGAUGGUGAUGCUGCAGGCCCUUCUUGUUAAUUUUUAGUGCAAUAAUUGAAGUUGUAGGGUGUGGUCAAGCAAACCUCUUUUGACUGAAAUGCAUGUGAUAUACCGGUAAGUGGCGUAUCUAGAGGGGGACUGGCGUUGCCCUCGCCCCCUCCUCCCCACCCCCCCCCCCCCCCCAAAAAAAAUUGAAAUUGUUAUUUAAAUUUUUUCAAAAAUUUUAAAUUAAUAAAAGUAACAUUAUACUUUAUCCUCUAAAAUUAUAAAAAUUCUAUUUAAUCCUUUAAAAAUUAUAAAUAUAUAGACUAUAAAAAAUUAAAAUUUCAUUCGACCCCCCUAAAAUAUUGUUCUGGCUUCGCCCUUGAUACCGAUGUUGAAUAUUUUAGAGUAUAUGUCUUCUUUAACAAGGUUAAAUUAUAUAUUUGUAUAAUAUAGUUAUUGUUCAUGGACGUGACAUCGUAACUAGGUUCUUAUGCAUGUUAACAUAUAUCCUAUUUUAGGGUUAACAUGUAUUUUUUAAAUGUGAAUUCAUCUGUAUAAUGAUAUGAACCCAUCACGCGAUCUCAUAAAAUAUGCGAAUAUAUGUCAUGCGAACACAAAAUACAAACCACACACAAUACAUAUCAAGACCCAAUUGUGUAAUUGGAUACGGAUCAGUAAUAAUGAAUUUUCAUAACAGCCACCAUCCCCUCUUUUUUUUCUAAUUUAUUUUAUUUCCAGUGAGUUAUUAUUUAUGAUAAUUCACAACAAAUGUUUUUGUCAUUAUUUUGUUGGUAAAUAAUAAUAAGAUUAAACUUUACUUUCUUAAGCUCCUUCAAUUCUUUGGACGUUGGUGGUUUUUAUUCUAAUCUUAUUUUCUUAUUAAUUUCUUUUUUAUACAUGUAUGGUAUUAACAUUAUAUCAAUUAAAAUUUAUUCGACUGAAAAUAUAAAUUUAAAAUUGUACUUCAAUUUAUCUUAAUUUAUAAAUGAUGAAUUUAAAUUUAUUUUUUUCCUCUCAUUAUAUUUUUCCGGAUAAUAUUUGGCCCUAGAACAAAAACUAAAACAAUAAAACAAAUAUAUAUGUUUUCCAAAAAUUAAAUUGUCAACUUUAAAAAUAUAUAUUUUUAGCUAUUUAUCAUCAUAGAGAAAAAAAAAAAAAAGGUCACCUAGCCUCAUGCUUCAACACCUCAACCUAGAUUCUCAUCACCUGUAUUUAUCAUUGAUUCAGAUUUUUAUUUUUACUAUAUUCAAGAACUACCUAUAACUAUAUCUUCAAACUUCCUCUGGUUAAGUUCAUUCAUAGAUAGGUGAGUAAACUUGAGCUUCAGCUUCAACAAACACCAUAGUUUGAAGACACAAUUCUCUCAUACUAAAAAUAUGGAAGUUUACCAUGUAAUUAGAGAUUUGGUCUCAUUGCUUGUUGUUGGGUUAUUAAUGAUAUGGGGAUGGAGAGCUUUAAACUGGGUAUGGUUGGCCCCAAAGAGGCUCGAACGGUGCUUGAGACAACAGGGUUUUGCAGGGAAUCCUUACAGGUUCCUUUCUGGUGACAUAAAAGAGCUCUCAACUAUGAGCAGACAAACAAGAGCCAAACCUAUGCCUCUUAGUGAUGAUAUUGGGCCUUAUGUUGCUCCUUUUCUUCAUCAAACUGUCAACCAGUAUGGUAUGUUUUUUAUUAUUUAAUCUUCAAUUUAUGAUAAUUCUUUGUUAUUUAUGUAUGGAAUUUAUUGGGAGGAAAUGCAGGAAAGAAUUCAUUUACGUGGAUUGGUCCAAGACAAAGGGUGAACAUUAUGGACCCUGAAAAACUAAGAGAAAUAUUUACCAAAUUUAAUGACUUCCAGAAGAUACGUACCAAUCCACUGCUUACUUUGCUUGUAAGCGGCCUUGUUAACCUCGAAGGAGACCGAUGGAGCAAGCAUAGAAAAAUCAUAAACCCUUCAUUUCAUCAAGAUAAGUUGAAGGUAUAGAAUAGUUAUGGGUACUCAGACUUUACAGAAAAUAUCAUACUUAAACCUAUGCAUUUCUGAUUUAGAAAUGAUUGGGUGCAGAAUAUGUUGCCAGCAUUUUAUCAAAGUUGUAGUGACAUGUUAAGCAAAUGGGAGAAGAUGGUGUGUACAGAAGGAUACAGUGAGUUAGAUGUGUGGCCUUAUCUCGUAGAUUUGACAAGAGAUGUGCUUUCCCGAUCUGCUUUUGGAAGCAGCUUCGAAGAAGGCAGACGAAUUUUCCAAUUACUAGACGACCAACUCGUUCUCAGAAUCAAAUUACUACAAACUGUUUACAUUCCAGGAUGGAGGUAACCCUCAACUUAAUUUACUUGAAAAAGGUUGCAAAUAUUGGAAUUGGCUAAAUUCGUGUUCGUUUUCUUGAAGGUUUUUUCCCACAAAGACAAACAGGGAGGUGAAGAUGAAACACAAAGACAUAAAAGAGUUGCUUAGGGAAAUGAUAAACAGAAGAGAGAAGGCAAUUAAAGCAGGGGAAAAGAGCAAUGAGGACUUGUUGGACAUACUUGUGGAAUCCAAUAUCAGAGAAAUGGAAGCAAAGAAUAUGAGGAUGAGCAUUGAGGAUGUGAUUGAGGAAUGCAAGCUGUUUUACUUUGCUGGCCAAGAGACCACUUCGGUCUUACUGGUGUGGACUAUGGUUUUAUUAGCAAGGUAUCCCGAUUGGCAAAGUAAAGCAAGAGAGGAGGUUUUGCAUGUUUUGGGUGACAGUAAAC
Molecule: long non-coding RNA, 26466 nt
Filed under: Gossypium barbadense (sea-island cotton)
Lineage: Eukaryota; Viridiplantae; Streptophyta; Magnoliopsida; Malvales; Malvaceae
Description: long non-coding RNA (GBAR_LNC000076)
Source: RNAcentral